This 504-nucleotide ribosomal RNA is filed under the name uncultured bacterium. RNAcentral's name for it is "partial 16S ribosomal RNA". It matches the Rfam family "Bacterial small subunit ribosomal RNA", at positions 30 to 523 of the family's 1533-position model. The record is from RNAcentral.
AUUGAACGCUGGCGGCAGGCCUAACACAUGCAAGUCGAGCGGUAACACAGGGAGCUUGCUCCUGGGUGACGAGCGGCGGACGGGUGAGUAAUGUCUGGGAAACUGCCUGAUGGAGGGGGAUAACUACUGGAAACGGUAGCUAAUACCGCAUAACGUCGCAAGACCAAAGAGGGGGACCUUCGGGCCUCUUGCCAUCAGAUGUGCCCAGAUGGGAUUAGCUAGUAGGUGGGGUAAUGGCUCACCUAGGCGACGAUCCCUAGCUGGUCUGAGAGGAUGACCAGCAACACUGGAACUGAGACACGGUCCAGACUCCUACGGGAGGCAGCAGUGGGGAAUAUUGCACAAUGGGCGCAAGCCUGAUGCAGCCAUGCCGCGUGUAUGAAGAAGGCCUUCGGGUUGUAAAGUACUUUCAGCGGGGAGGAAGGUGUUGAGGUUAAUAACCUCAGCAAUUGACGUUACCCGCAGAAGAAGCACCGGCUAACUCCGUGCCAGCAGCCGCCGUAA